UACGUAGGGUGCAAGCGUUGUCCGGAAUUAUUGGGCGUAAAGAGCUCGUAGGCGGUCUGUCGCGUCGGCUGUGAAAACCCGGGGCUCAACCCCGGGCCUGCAGUCGAUACGGGCAGACUAGAGUGCGGUAGGGGAGACUGGAAUUCCUGGUGUAGCGGUGAAAUGCGUAGAUAUCAAGUGGAACACCAGUGGCGAAGGCGAGUCUCUGGACAUUUCCUGACGCUGAGGCACGAAAGCCAGGGGAGCAAACGGG
RNAcentral lists this ribosomal RNA (253 nucleotides) under uncultured bacterium. Its description in RNAcentral is "partial 16S ribosomal RNA". It matches the Rfam family "Bacterial small subunit ribosomal RNA", at positions 524 to 776 of the family's 1533-position model. The record is from RNAcentral.